RNAcentral lists this long non-coding RNA (979 nucleotides) under Erythranthe guttata (spotted monkey flower). RNAcentral describes it as "long non-coding RNA (EGUT_LNC002669)". Lineage: Eukaryota; Viridiplantae; Streptophyta; Magnoliopsida; Lamiales; Phrymaceae. The record is from RNAcentral.
ACAACCUCGCCUCCAUUAGGGCCUCUGGUAAGGACCUUCCCUUCAAUUUUGGCCGCGGCUUUGUCCUAUGCCCCGUCACUUGGCGCAUCGUUUCUUCUCCAAUAGUAUACUUCGCCGACUUUCUCGCCCAUUUGUAUUUGCCAUUAUCUUCUUUCUAUUGUUUCUCUCUACUCUCCAUAAACAAAUUGUUGACUCCAUUUCUCCCCUUUUAUAUUUUAUUUCCAUAAGAAUGAAACAGUUAUAGGAGAUUUGCUAGCGAACUCUGUUAAUUUGUUUUUCCAAUUUCAUUUCCCAUGAACGAAUUUAAAAUGAUUUUUUAAAUUUUGUCGGUCUUAAUAUUUUUUUUCGAAUGGGAUUUUUAGAUGAUCGGUCUACACAUCGGUAUUGGUUAGUCUGAUUCCUAGUAUUAAUUUCAUGGGGUCAAAUUUGCCAGUUUUGUUAUUGUUUUUCUUAUGUUGUGAUUGUCAUUGGUGUCUUUCCAUCAUUAUUUUUUGUGUUUUCGUUAAAGCUAUUUUUCUUCUCUGAUGCUCCCAUUUUAUUGAAUAUUAUUAUAUUUUAUUAAAGCAAUUCGGCUACAAGAAGGACGUUCGCCCGGAGGCCGACGCGGCUUAGUGUGCGGCUACGGUGGUGGUGGUUUCUUAUUUGGCUUCCGCAGUGGUGGAUGCUCCUCCUCCGUCGGUGGCUCCUUCGCUGGCGGCUGUUCCUCGUCCAACAAUCUCUGACGAAUUCCACCUUCCAACAGUCUUUACUGUGGUUUAAUUACCCUAUUUAUUUCGUGGUCGAAAGUGUCCAGGUACUGGUUUCAAUAAAAUGAUUAGUCAUCAAGCAGGAGCAAUAGAGAAGGGAAGGAAAUCAUGAAUAUGAGUGCGUAUAAAUCAGGCAUCAGCCUUUCGUUUUCUUAAUUGCAUAAUUAGCUGAAUGAUUUUACAAGUGACUCUAAUUAGUUUCACAUUAUAUGUGCCAGUUGUGGUGCAGGAAU